This is a long non-coding RNA of Sorghum bicolor (sorghum), 550 nucleotides long. RefSeq lists it as uncharacterized. The transcript is spliced from 2 exons. The record is from RefSeq and is a predicted model, not a curated record. NCBI's taxonomy places the organism in Eukaryota, Viridiplantae, Streptophyta, Magnoliopsida, Poales, Poaceae.
UAAGACGCCUAAGCUCGGCAGGAGGCCGGCGUGCCCACGUGUCCUGUAUGGAUUUUCCAGGCUCUUAGAGGAGAUUGAAAUUGCAAAGGUUUUAGGUUUUUACAUGCUCUCCAUUUCCUACAGCGUCGCCUACGUGCUGCUCGAGCUCAUCUAGCCCGCCUCCUCCUCUCCACUGAGUCCUACUCACCGUGCUCCUUGUCUACCCCACCUCCAUGUGCUCCCGUAUCUCACCACCGCGUGCUUCCACGCCGGCAUGCCGUCCACCAUCACACGCUCCAAUGCCAUCGGCGUGGGGAUGGGGGCGAUCGACGCGACGUAGAUGUAGAGUGUGAGGAGAGAAGACUUGGCGACGACGUAGAGGGAGUUCAAGACUAGUGGCGGCAGCGCAAAGGAGUGCGGGGAGGAGGAGUAUCGCAUAGAGGACGGAGCUCAGAGUCGAUGUGAAGGAAGAGCUCGACAUUGGGAGGAGCACGAAGAGGGAGAAUUUGGACCGUGAUGGGAAAAAGACAGAGAAGAACCAUGAUAAGGAAAAACGCCCCUUUUUACAUUA